This 303-nucleotide ribosomal RNA is filed under the name uncultured bacterium. Its description in RNAcentral is "partial 16S ribosomal RNA". It matches the Rfam family "Bacterial small subunit ribosomal RNA", at positions 507 to 807 of the family's 1533-position model. The record is from RNAcentral.
AGCAGUAGCCGCGGUAAUACGAGGGGGGCAAGCGUUGUUCGGAAUUAUUGGGCGUAAAGGGCGCGUAGGCGGUUUGACAAGUCUGAUGUGAAAUCUCUGGGCUCAACCCAGAGUCUGCAUCGGAAACUGUCGAGCUUGAGUAUGGGAGAGGUGAGUGGAAUUUCCGGUGUAGCGGUGAAAUGCGUAGAUAUCGGAAGGAACACCUGUGGCGAAAGCGGCUCACUGGACCAUUACUGACGCUGAGGCGCGAAAGCUAGGGGAGCAAACAGGAUUAGAUACCCCAGUAGUCCCUGUCUCUUAUAC